UUCUGUUGUUUUUGUUAGAUUGCGGGUCUAUACAUGCAGUCGAACGCUUCUUUUUCCACCGGAGCUUGCUCCACCGGAAAAAGAGGAGUGGCGAACGGGUGAGUAACACGUGGGUAACCUGCCCAUCAGAAGGGGAUAACACUUGGAAACAGGUGCUAAUACCGUAUAACAAUCAAAACCGCAUGGUUUUGAUUUGAAAGGCGCUUUCGGGUGUCGCUGAUGGAUGGACCCGCGGUGCAUUAGCUAGUUGGUGAGGUAACGGCUCACCAAGGCCACGAUGCAUAGCCGACCUGAGAGGGUGAUCGGCCACAUUGGGACUGAGACACGGCCCAAACUCCUACGGGAGGCAGCAGUAGGGAAUCUUCGGCAAUGGACGAAAGUCUGACCGAGCAACGCCGCGUGAGUGAAGAAGGUUUUCGGAUCGUAAAACUCUGUUGUUAGAGAAGAACAAGGAUGAGAGUAACUGUUCAUCCCUUGACGGUAUCUAACCAGAAAGCCACGGCUAACUACGUGCCAGCAGCCGCGGUAAUACGUAGGUGGCAAGCGUUGUCCGGAUUUAUUGGGCGUAAAGCGAGCGCAGGCGGUUUCUUAAGUCUGAUGUGAAAGCCCCCGGCUCAACCGGGGAGGGUCAUUGGAAACUGGGAGACUUGAGUGCAGAAGAGGAGAGUGGAAUUCCAUGUGUAGCGGUGAAAUGCGUAGAUAUAUGGAGGAACACCAGUGGCGAAGGCGGCUCUCUGGUCUGUAACUGACGCUGAGGCUCGAAAGCGUGGGGAGCAAACAGGAUUAGAUACCCUGGUAGUCCACGCCGUAAACGAUGAGUGCUAAGUGUUGGAGGGUUUCCGCCCUUCAGUGCUGCAGCUAACGCAUUAAGCACUCCGCCUGGGGAGUACGACCGCAAGGUUGAAUAGAAACUUAGCGGAGGA
Molecule: ribosomal RNA, 923 nt
Filed under: Enterococcus faecium
Lineage: Bacteria; Bacillati; Bacillota; Bacilli; Lactobacillales; Enterococcaceae
Description: bacterial SSU rRNA
Rfam family: Bacterial small subunit ribosomal RNA
Source: RNAcentral